CAGCCGCCACGGUAAUACGAAGGGUGCAAGCGUUACUCGGAAUUACUGGGCGUAAAGCGUGCGUAGGUGGUGGUUUAAGUCCGUUGUGAAAGCCCUGGGCUCAACCUGGGAAUUGCAGUGGAUACUGGAUCACUAGAGUGUGGUAGAGGAUAGUGGAAUUUCCGGUGUAGCAGUGAAAUGCGUAGAGAUCGGAAGGAACAUCUGUGGCGAAGGCGACUAUCUGGGCCAACACUGACGCUGAGGCACGAAAGCGUGGGGAGCAAACAGGAUUAGAUACCCGCGUAGUCCCUGUCUCUUAUAC
This 301-nucleotide ribosomal RNA is filed under the name uncultured bacterium. Its description in RNAcentral is "partial 16S ribosomal RNA". It matches the Rfam family "Bacterial small subunit ribosomal RNA", at positions 509 to 807 of the family's 1533-position model. The record is from RNAcentral.